Molecule: ribosomal RNA, 843 nt
Filed under: Flavobacterium sp. GUAF 7027
Lineage: Bacteria; Pseudomonadati; Bacteroidota; Flavobacteriia; Flavobacteriales; Flavobacteriaceae
Description: bacterial SSU rRNA
Rfam family: Bacterial small subunit ribosomal RNA
Source: RNAcentral
GCUCAGGAUGAACGCUAGCGGCAGGCUUAACACAUGCAAGUCGAGGGGUAGAGGCCUUCGGGCCUUGAGACCGGCGCACGGGUGCGUAACGCGUAUGCAAUCUGCCUUCCACAGAGGGAUAGCCCAGAGAAAUUUGGAUUAAUACCUCAUAGCAUCAUGGCCCGGCAUCGGGAUAUGAUUAAAGUCACAACGGUGGAAGAUGAGCAUGCGUCCCAUUAGCUAGUUGGUAAGGUAACGGCUUACCAAGGCUACGAUGGGUAGGGGUCCUGAGAGGGAGAUCCCCCACACUGGUACUGAGACACGGACCAGACUCCUACGGGAGGCAGCAGUGAGGAAUAUUGGUCAAUGGGCGCAAGCCUGAACCAGCCAUGCCGCGUGCAGGAUGACGGUCCUAUGGAUUGUAAACUGCUUUUGUACGGGAAGAAACCCUCCUACGUGUAGGAGCUUGACGGUACCGUAAGAAUAAGGAUCGGCUAACUCCGUGCCAGCAGCCGCGGUAAUACGGAGGAUCCAAGCGUUAUCCGGAAUCAUUGGGUUUAAAGGGUCUGUAGGCGGUCUUGUAAGUCAGUGGUGAAAGCCCAUCGCUCAACGGUGGAACGGCCAUUGAUACUGCUGGACUUGAAUUAUUGGGAAGCAACUAGAAUAUGUAGUGUAGCGGUGAAAUGCUUAGAGAUUACAUGGAAUACCAAUUGCGAAGGCAGGUUGCUACCAAUGGAUUGACGCUGAUGGACGAAAGCGUGGGUAGCGAACAGGAUUAGAUACCCUGGUAGUCCACGCCGUAAACGAUGGAUACUAGCUGUUGGGCGCAAGUUCAGUGGCUAAGCGAAAGUGAUAAGUAUCCCA